RNAcentral lists this ribosomal RNA (1176 nucleotides) under uncultured organism. RNAcentral describes it as "bacterial SSU rRNA". It matches the Rfam family "Bacterial small subunit ribosomal RNA", at positions 105 to 1284 of the family's 1533-position model. The record is from RNAcentral.
GGUGAGUAACGCGUAUGGAACCUACCUGAAACAGGGGGAUAGCUUCCGGAAACGGGGAUUAAUACCGCAUACGAUUCAUUUGUGGCCUCACAAAUGGAUAAAAGCUACGGCGGUUUCAGAUGGCCAUGCGUACCAUUAGUUAGUUGGUGAGGUAAAGGCUCACCAAGGCGAUGAUGGUUAGGGGUCCUGAGAGGGUAGUCCCCCACACUGGUACUGAGACACGGACCAGACUCCUACGGGAGGCAGCAGUGAGGAAUAUUGGUCAAUGGGCGCUAGCCUGAACCAGCCAUGCCGCGUGCAGGAAGACGGCCCUACGGGUUGUAAACUGCUUUUCUGCAGGAAGAAUAUAUAGUCUUAGGGGUAUAUUGACGGUACUGCAGGAAUAAGCAUCGGCUAACUCCGUGCCAGCAGCCGCGGUAAUACGGAGGAUGCAAGCGUUAUCCGGAUUCAUUGGGUUUAAAGGGUGCGCAGGCUGUAAAGCAAGUCAGUGGUGAAAGCCCUGGGCUUAACUCAGGGAUUGCCAUUGAAACUGUUUUACUAGAGUGUAGUAGAGGACGGCGGAAUGAGUUGUGUAGCGGUGAAAUGCAUAGAUAUAACUCAGAACACCUAUUGCGUAGGCAGCUGUCUAUACUACAACUGACGCUGAGGCACGAAAGCGUGGGGAGCGAACAGGAUUAGAUACCCUGGUAGUCCACGCUGUAAACGAUGAUCACUCGUUGUUGGCUACUUAGUAGUCAGUGACCAAGGGAAACCGAUAAGUGAUCCACCUGGGGAGUACGUCGGCAACGAUGAAACUCAAAGGAAUUGACGGGGGCCCGCACAAGCGGAGGAACAUGUGGUUUAAUUCGAUGAUACGCGAGGAACCUUACCUGGGCUUAAAUGCUGGCUGCAUUGGAGGGAAACCUUCAUUUCCUACGGGACCGCCAGCAAGGUGCUGCAUGGUUGUCGUCAGCUCGUGCCGUGAGGUGUCGGGUCAAGUCCCAUAAGGAGCGCAACCCCUAUCGCUAAUGCCAGCAUGUAAUGGUGGGGACUCUAGCGAGUCUGCCGGUGUAAACCGGAGGAAGGUGGGGAUGAUGUCAAAUCAGCACGGCCCUUACGUCCAGGGGUACACUCGUGUUACAAUGGCCGGUUCAAAGAGCAGCCAUCCUGGCGACAGGGCGCUAAUCUCUAAAACCG